UACGAAGGGGGCUAGCGUUGUUCGGAAUUACUGGGCGUAAAGCGCGUGUAGGCGGGAAGAUAAGUCGGGUGUGAAAUCCCUGGGCUCAACCUAGGAACUGCAUUCGAAACUGUCUUUCUGGAGUGAUGGAGAGGAAAGCGGAAUUCCCGGUGUAGAGGUGAAAUUCGUAGAUAUCGGGAGGAACACCAGUGGCGAAGGCGGCUUUCUGGCCAUCAACUGACGCUGAGACGCGAAAGCGUGGGGAGCAAACAGG
RNAcentral lists this ribosomal RNA (253 nucleotides) under uncultured bacterium. RNAcentral describes it as "partial 16S ribosomal RNA". It matches the Rfam family "Bacterial small subunit ribosomal RNA", at positions 524 to 776 of the family's 1533-position model. The record is from RNAcentral.